AUUGAACGCUGGCGGCAUGCUUUACACAUGCAAGUCGAACGGUAACAGGCCUUCGGGUGCUGACGAGUGGCGAACGGGUGAGUAAUGCAUCGGAACGUGCCCAAUCGUGGGGGAUAACGUAGCGAAAGUUACGCUAAUACCGCAUAAGCCCUGAGGGGGAAAGCAGGGGAUCGCAAGACCUUGCGCGAAUGGAGCGGCCGAUGUCAGAUUAGCUAGUUGGUGGGGUAAAGGCCUACCAAGGCAACGAUCUGUAGCGGGUCUGAGAGGAUGAUCCGCCACACUGGGACUGAGACACGGCCCAGACUCCUACGGGAGGCAGCAGUGGGGAAUUUUGGACAAUGGGCGCAAGCCUGAUCCAGCCAUGCCGCGUGCGGGACGAAGGCCUUC
RNAcentral lists this ribosomal RNA (387 nucleotides) under uncultured bacterium. Its description in RNAcentral is "bacterial SSU rRNA". It matches the Rfam family "Bacterial small subunit ribosomal RNA", at positions 30 to 419 of the family's 1533-position model. The record is from RNAcentral.